Molecule: non-coding RNA, 853 nt
Organism: Physcomitrium patens
Lineage: Eukaryota; Viridiplantae; Streptophyta; Bryopsida; Funariales; Funariaceae
Source: RefSeq, a predicted model, not a curated record
GAGGACCUUGUUGAUGGUGUUGGAGCCAGCGAGGAGGUACUACUACUACUACUUCGUCGUCUUCGACUUCUUCAUCUUCAAGAGUCGAAUCAGCUUUUACGGCAUUCCGAAAGUUGCAGCCAGGCAGGAGAGGCAGGGCAGGCACGCAGGCUGCGACUGGGUCCGCACCAGCGGCAUCAGGAGUAGCAGCAGGCAGGAGGCGCAGCAGUAUUAGCAGCAUCAUCAUCAUCAUCCACUUUGCUUCUCGUCCUUGUGGAGCCCUGCCUUGCCUUGCCUUGCCUCGCCUCGUCUGCCCACUGCACCGUCAUCGUCCGCGACGCACUGUGCUGAAACAUUAGAGACUAUGGCGUUCAAUGUGUGGCGCAAUUUGAUGGUAGUCACCUUCUCAGGGUUUAAGCCCUACCUGGAGGCUGGCGCAGGGUGGCUGGCGCAGAUGAAGCAGGGCAUGAAGGUGCUGCUGAUGGUGCACAACCCGAUGAGGCAAAACGGAAAGGCAUCUUCCCACGUUACGCAUAGAAUAAGAAUGGCCAGUAUGCAUUUGUCCAUGGAUGAGGUAUCUAAGACCUACAAAAUUACUCCCGUCCGCAGACUGUAAUAGCUUCAUUUUGAGUGCUUGUGUAUAGAAGUAGCAGCAGGAUUCACUAGAGGUCGCCAAAUGGCAGACCCAAAAGAUCGCUUCUCGUUUUGUAUACGAACCAUUCGAUUUGUGUUCUUGGGCUCAAUCAGUGAUCCAAAGUGGGUGCUGGUGCUCACCAGAUCUGUAUCCCGUUUACUAUGUACAGUUUUGUGUCUAUUAAUGUACCAGUGAAGGAGGUGGUCAUUUAUACUCUCUGCCUCAAACUCUAAUGUCAAA